Lynx canadensis (Canada lynx) is the source of this 1120-nucleotide long non-coding RNA. RefSeq lists it as uncharacterized. The transcript has 4 exons. The record is from RefSeq and is a predicted model, not a curated record. Lineage: Eukaryota; Metazoa; Chordata; Mammalia; Carnivora; Felidae.
GAACAUGGCUUUGAGUUCUCUCCGUGGAGAAACAGAAAAGCUGGAGCAUUUAUCCACCAAUCCCUGGUCUGCCAGUUGGUUGAGGGCUACUUCCAGGGACGUGAACUCCUUAGGACUCUGGUUUGUCUUGCCUGUACCCACAGCCACGGGAGGAUCUAAGCCCCUUUGGGUAUUCAGACACCGACCAACUAAAGCCAGAGAAUUGACAAUAUUGACCGUUGCUGGCCUUCAUGACUUUGACCUGAACUCUGUCCCCUUAAAAUGACUUUUGCCCCAAUUCCAUGCUGGAUUCCCCAUUGGGCAAGCUGAUUCAUGAACAGGUUCCCUGGGUCCUGCUGGCUUGAGGGCCACAUGAGGAAUGCCCUCCAAAGCUCACCCCCAGCAUGUGAGCUCAGGAACAGCAGAGCCUUUGGCUUGUUGGGCUGCAUUGUUCACCAUGGCCUGUAUUGUGUUGGGGUUCCCCUGGUGUCCCCAGACUGGGUUUUUCUCAUGGGCUGAAAGAUCAUGUAUGGAUGAGGCUUCCACUUGGGAAAACAAGUUCCUGCUCUUCUAGUUUCCAGAAAGGGUACUUUGACACCUUGUCAGACUGUUUGCAUUUGGAAUAUGCACUCAGGUAUGUUUCCAAGGAAGAGGGUGGGGGACACAUCCACAGGCAUGGCUGGGUCCCCAGAUUGGAGCUGGAGCAGAGAAGGAGCCUGGAUGACAUGCCUGCGAGAGACCACCUGUCUCAGGGCCCCUAGAUGUGGUUCCUCAAGCAAAGAUUCCUUGGGCGUCAUGGACCAUCUGCCUCCUCCUAUGGAUGUCUUCAGCAUCAUCUCUCUCCCUCUCCCGCAGCAAGAGGGCUUGAUCAAGGUAUCUUUGAUUGAAUUAGUAGCUCCUGAAGCACAGUGUAAGAUAAAAUUGGGGACACAGUGUAAAUGAGAACAUGAAAAGAUUUACUAUAUUAGAUGUUCAUUGUGGUAACAUGGAAAUGUGACGGGAUAACUUAUGGGGAUUGCUCUGGGCUUUGUUGAUGCUGCUAUAGUGGGGUCAGAAAGUGCAAUCUGCUUUGGUUUUCAGUGUUUUCUUCCUGUCCACCCCCCUUUCCAGGUGGGUGUCUUCUUGCCUCCCCUGGAGUGAA